UCAGCACCCCUCCGUCCCCGCAGU
Molecule: microRNA, 24 nt
Filed under: Gallus gallus (chicken)
Lineage: Eukaryota; Metazoa; Chordata; Aves; Galliformes; Phasianidae
Description: gga-miR-12216-3p
Source: miRBase by way of RNAcentral